AAAAAGAAAUUUGUUAAAUCAAUUUAAUUUGAAUUUAAAAAAUUAUUAUUUUUAUUUUUAAAAAAAAGAAUUUUUAGUUUAAUUAAUUUUAUUGAAUAAAUUAAAUUUAUUAUAGAUUAUUAGUAUUGUGAAAGAAAUUUUAAAUAUAUUGAAAAUUUAAAUUUAUUAAAGAAAAAUUUAAUUUUUGUACCUUGUGUAUCAGGGUUUAUUUAUUAAUAAUUAUAAAUUUAAUUUUCUCGAUUUAAAAAGAGUUAGUAAAAUAUUUAUUUUAAUGUAAAAUUAUUAUUUUUAAUUUUUUAUUAGUAAUGAAACGUUAUUCGAUUUUUAAUAUAUCUAGUUUUUUAAGAAAUGAAUUUAAUUUAUUUAUUAAAAUUUAUAAAUUUAAAUUUUAAAUUUUUUAAUUUUAAUAUUAAAAAUGUUUAGGGAAAAGCUUAAAUAUUUAAAUUUAAAAAAUAGUAAGAUUUUAUAAAUUAUAGGAUUAGAAAUUUCCAUUAUUAAUAAUUUGUUAAAAUUAAUUUUAUAUUAUAUAUUAUUUUUAUAUAUUUUUAAGUUUUUUAUUAAAAAUUUUUAAUUAAUAUUUAAUUAAAAAUUAUAAUGAUAAAAUUAGUAUAUGAUUAAUGUAUGUUUAAUUUUUAAAAAUUCAGAUUAUUUAAAGGAAUUCGGCAAAAUUAUAUUAUUCGCCUGUUUACUAAAAACAUGUCUUAUUGAUUAUAAUUUUAAGUCUAAUCUGCCCAAUGAAAUUUUAAAUGGCUGCAGUAUUUUAACUGUACAAAGGUAGCAUAAUAAUUAGUCUCUUAAUUAGAGACUAGAAUGAAUGAUUGAACGAGAUAAUAACUGUCUCUAUUUAAUUUUUAGAAUUUUAUUUUUAAGUUAAAAAGCUUAAAUAAUUUUAAAAGACGAGAAGACCCUAUAGAGUUUAAUAUUUUUAGAUAAUUUAUUUUUUAGAUAAUUUAUUAAUAAAUUUUUUUAAAAAUAUUUAAUUGGGGUGAUUAAAAAAUUAAAUUAACUUUUUUUAUUUGUUAACAUAAAUUAAUGAUUAAUUGAUCCAAUUUUAUUGAUUAUAAGAUUAAAUUACCUUAGGGAUAACAGCGUAAUUUUUUUAGAGAGUUCAUAUCGAAAAAAAAGAUUGCGACCUCGAUGUUGGAUUAAAAUUAAUUUUUGGCGUAGAAGUUAGAAAAUUAGGUCUGUUCGACCUUUAAAAUUUUACAUGAUCUGAGUUUAAAUCGGCGUGAGCCAGGUUGGUUUCUAUCUUUAAAAAUUUAAAAUAUUUUAGUACGAAAGGACCAAAUAUUUAUAAAAAUUAUUAAUUUUAUGAAUAAUAUUAAUUGUUACUUUGGCAGAAUAGUGCUUUAAAUUUAGAAUUUAAAUAU
This 1370-nucleotide ribosomal RNA is filed under the name Nargus velox. RNAcentral's name for it is "16S ribosomal RNA". The stretch from base 1082 to 1240 matches the Rfam family "Eukaryotic large subunit ribosomal RNA", at positions 2825 to 2984 of the family's 3401-position model. Lineage: Eukaryota; Metazoa; Arthropoda; Insecta; Coleoptera; Leiodidae. The record is from RNAcentral.